GACGAACGCUGGCGGCGUGCUUAACGCAUGCAAGUCGAGCGGAAAGACCCUGCUUUUGUGGGGUUCUCGUUUGGCGCACACGUGAGUGACACGUGAGUAACCUGCCCUUGUCUUUGUGAUAACUUCACGAGACUGGGGCUCAUACCGGAUAUGAGCUCCUGCUGCAUAGGGUUGGUUGGAGAGUUUCGGCGGUUGGGGAUGGACUCGCGGCUUAUCAGCUUGUUGGUGGGGUAGGGGCUGCCGAAGGCUUUGAAGGGUAGCCGGCAUGAGAGGGUUACCGGCCACAAUGGGCCUGCGAGACGGCGCAGAAGCCUACGGGAGGCAGCAGUGGGGAACAUUGCACAAUGGGCGGAAGCCUGAUGCAGCAACGCCGCGUGCGGGAUGACGGCCUUUGGGUUGUAAACAGCUGUGGACUGUGACGAAGCGGGAGUGACGGUAAUGGGUAAAGAAGCAACGGCUAACUACGUG
Molecule: ribosomal RNA, 468 nt
Filed under: uncultured bacterium
Lineage: Bacteria
Description: partial 16S ribosomal RNA
Rfam family: Bacterial small subunit ribosomal RNA
Source: RNAcentral